AUGAAGGGUCCUGGGUGUGGAGCCUGCCCCAGCCCUCCUCACACACUUUCCUACCCAGAUCCCCCAGAGGGGCAGCCCUCCUGUGCCGUGCUCCCCUCCCCCAGGGCUGUGACUUUGCCCUGCACCUGGCCUGGAGGGUUUCCGCCGGCCCAGCUGCAGUGGGAAGGGCCCCAGGGGACUGGUCCGACUGCCCCCAGCAACGUCACCUGGAGUCAUGCAACUGCCCAGCUCCCCAACGGUAGCGUCUUCACCUGCACCGGUCAGCACCCAGCCCUGGCAUUGCCGGCCGUCUGCAGGAUCACGCUCUGGGAACCUCUCUGGAGCCCCACCUGCUGGACCACGGCCUCUCUGGGAGACCAGUUGAUCAUGCUGAGCUGCAGGUGGCCUGGAGGUGAGCCCCCUGCCGUGCUGGGCUGGCUUGACGGACAACAGCGGCCUCUGGGCAGCAACAGCUCUUCGCUGGCCAUCCACCUUCUGCAGGCCCAGGACAAUCUAGCCGGCAGGGAGUUCACCUGCCGGGGCACUCACCCACUCAGGAGCCCGGACCCCUACUGCCAGCUCCAGCUGGAAGCCCCACAGCUGGCAGUGGCUGAGCCCCGCGUGUCUGUGUUGGAGGGGGGAGAGGCCAUGCUGGCCUGUGUCCUGCAGCAUGGCACACCACCCGCCCAGCUCCUCUGGCUGGGACCCCAGCUGCGGCAGGUGGAACAGGGCACGUCUGGAUUCACACUAUACCCUGAGGGUGCCUGGCUGCGCCUCCACAUCCAAGAUGCUGACCCAGCACGCCACAAGGGGACCUACCAAUGUGUGGCCAGCAACGCUGUGGGCAGCCACCAUCGCAGCGUGCAGCUGGAGGUCCUGAGAUAUCCAGCUCCUCCCAACGUCACCAUCAGCCGCCUGACCUACGCACGGCACCGCAGAGAGGUGCAGCUGCAGUGGGUGCUGGAGGGCUCCGGGAACCUGACGGGCUUCCUGGUGCAGCGGAGGGCCAGCAUCCCCGGCACUGCCGCCUGGGAGACGGCAGCCAGCGACAUCGAGCCUGAGAGCAGGGGCCGGCGGCUGGGAGGCUUGGACCCCGGAGUCCUCUAUGCCUUCCGCAUCCUGGCUCUGAACCACCGCACGGCUGGGCUGCCCUCCCCGGUGAAGACACCAGGUGCUGGUGCUGGCACCAGGGAGGGACCGGCCUUGCUCCAGAGAACUGAGCCUUGGUUCUCCCUCCUCCUCCUCCCUCUCUCCCCUCCUCCCCUUCCUCCCGCUCUUCCUUCUCUCCCCCCUUGUCCCCCCUCCCCCCAGUCCUCUCCUCUCCCCCUGGAUCAGAAGAAAUAG
Molecule: long non-coding RNA, 1323 nt
Filed under: Oryctolagus cuniculus (rabbit)
Lineage: Eukaryota; Metazoa; Chordata; Mammalia; Lagomorpha; Leporidae
Description: lncRNA (ENSOCUG00000032909.1)
Source: RNAcentral